Molecule: transfer RNA, 63 nt
Filed under: Urechis unicinctus
Lineage: Eukaryota; Metazoa; Annelida; Polychaeta; Xenopneusta; Urechidae
Description: tRNA-Trp
Source: RNAcentral
AGGACCUUAAGUUAAUUUAAACUAACAGCCUUCAAAGCUGUAAAUAGAGACAUCUAGAUCCUG